GAUGAACGCUGGCGGCGUGCCUAAUACAUGCAAGUCGAGCGAACGGACGAGAAGCUUGCUUCUCUGAUGUUAGCGGCGGACGGGUGAGUAACACGUGGAUAACCUACCUAUAAGACUGGGAUAACUUCGGGAAACCGGAGCUAAUACCGGAUAAUAUUUUGAACCGCAUGGUUCAAAAGUGAAAGACGGUCUUGCUGUCACUUAUAGAUGGAUCCGCGCUGCAUUAGCUAGUUGGUAAGGUAACGGCUUACCAAGGCAACGAUGCAUAGCCGACCUGAGAGGGUGAUCGGCCACACUGGAACUGAGACACGGUCCAGACUCCUACGGGAGGCAGCAGUAGGGAAUCUUCCGCAAUGGGCGAAAGCCUGACGGAGCAACGCCGCGUGAGUGAUGAAGGUCUUCGGAUCGUAAAACUCUGUUAUUAGGGAAGAACAUAUGUGUAAGUAACUGUGCACAUCUUGACGGUACCUAAUCAGAAAGCCACGGCUAACUACGUGCCAGCAGCCGCGGUAAUACGUAGGUGGCAAGCGUUAUCCGGAAUUAUUGGGCGUAAAGCGCGCGUAGGCGGUUUUUUAAGUCUGAUGUGAAAGCCCACGGCUCAACCGUGGAGGGUCAUUGGAAACUGGAAAACUUGAGUGCAGAAGAGGAAAGUGGAAUUCCAUGUGUAGCGGUGAAAUGCGCAGAGAUAUGGAGGAACACCAGUGGCGAAGGCGACUUUCUGGUCUGUAACUGACGCUGAUGUGCGAAAGCGUGGGGAUCAAACAGGAUUAGAUACCCUGGUAGUCCACGCCGUAAACGAUGAGUGCUAAGUGUUAGGGGGUUUCCGCCCCUUAGUGCUGCAGCUAAUGCAUUAAGCACUCCGCCUGGGGAGUACGACCGCAAGGUUGAAACUCAAAGGAAUUGACGGGGACCCGCACAAGCGGUGGAGCAUGUGGUUUAAUUCGAAGCAACGCGAAGAACCUUACCAAAUCUUGACAUCCUUUGACAACUCUAGAGAUAGAGCUUUCCCCUUCGGGGGACAAAGUGACAGGUGGUGCAUGGUUGUCGUCAGCUCGUGUCGUGAGAUGUUGGGUUAAGUCCCGCAACGAGCGCAACCCUUAAGCUUAGUUGCCAUCAUUAAGUUGGGCACUCUAAGUUGACUGCCGGUGACAAACCGGAGGAAGGUGGGGAUGACGUCAAAUCAUCAUGCCCCUUAUGAUUUGGGCUACACACGUGCUACAAUGGACAAUACAAAGGGCAGCGAAACCGCGAGGUCAAGCAAAUCCCAUAAAGUUGUUCUCAGUUCGGAUUGUAGUCUGCAACUCGACUACAUGAAGCUGGAAUCGCUAGUAAUCGUAGAUCAGCAUGCUACGGGGAAUACGUUCCCGGGUCU
Molecule: ribosomal RNA, 1372 nt
Filed under: uncultured bacterium
Lineage: Bacteria
Description: bacterial SSU rRNA
Rfam family: Bacterial small subunit ribosomal RNA
Source: RNAcentral